UGUGAGUGUGUAAGAGCGCAUGGUGGAUGCCUUGGCAUCAGGAGCCGAUGAAGGACGUGGAAAUCUGCGAUAAGCCUCGGGGAGCCGAUAAACGGGCUGUGAUCCGAGGAUGUCCGAAUGGGGGAACCCCGCCGCAUGCGAGUGCGGUGACCCGCACCUGAAUAUAUAGGGUGUGUGGAGGGAACGCGGGGAAGUGAAACAUCUCAGUACCCGUAGGAAGAGAAAAUAAGAAUGAUUCCGGGAGUAGUGGCGAGCGAAACUGGAUGAGCCUAAACCGUGUGCGUGUCAAGCGUGCUGGUGUUGCGUACAUGGUGUUGUGGGGUGUG
Molecule: ribosomal RNA, 326 nt
Filed under: Burkholderia multivorans
Lineage: Bacteria; Pseudomonadati; Pseudomonadota; Betaproteobacteria; Burkholderiales; Burkholderiaceae
Description: bacterial LSU rRNA
Rfam family: Bacterial large subunit ribosomal RNA
Source: RNAcentral